UACAGGGGGUGCAAACGUUGCUCGGAAUUAUUGGGCGUAAAGCGUGCGCAGGCGGUUUUGUAAGUCUGUCGUGAAAGCCCCGGGCUCAACCUGGGAAUUGCGAUGGAGACUGCAAGGCUUGAAUCUGGCAGAGGGGGGUAGAAUUCCACGUGUAGCAGUGAAAUGCGUAGAGAUGUGGAGGAACACCGAUGGCGAAGGCAGCCCCCUGGGUCAAGAUUGACGCUCAUGCACGAAAGCGUGGGGAGCAAACAGG
RNAcentral lists this ribosomal RNA (253 nucleotides) under uncultured bacterium. RNAcentral describes it as "partial 16S ribosomal RNA". It matches the Rfam family "Bacterial small subunit ribosomal RNA", at positions 524 to 776 of the family's 1533-position model. The record is from RNAcentral.